CCGGUGGCGAAGGGCGGCCCCCCCUGGACAAAAGACUGACGCUCAGGUGCGAAAGCGUGGGGAGCAAACAGGGAUUAGAUACCCUGGUAGUCCCACGCCCGUAAACGAUGUCGACUUGGGAGGGUUGUGCCCCUUGAGGCGUGGCUUCCGGAGCUAACGCGUUAAAGUCGACCGCUGGGGAGUACGGCCGCAAAGGUUAAAACUCAAAAUGAAAUUGACGGGGGCCCGCACAAGCGGUGGAGCAUGUGGUUUAAUUCGAUGCAACGCGAAGAACCUUACCUACUCUUGACAUCCAGAGAACUUACCAGAGAUGGUUUGGUGCCUUCGGGAACUCUGAGACAGGUGCUGCAUGGCUGUCGUCAGCUCGUGUUGUGAAAUGUUGGGUUAAGUCCCGCAACGAGCGCAACCCUUAUCCUUUGUUGCCAGCGGUUAGGCCGGGAACUCAAAGGAGACUGCCAGUGAUAAACUGGAGGAAGGUGGGGAUGACGUCAAGUCAUCAUGGCCCUUACGAGUAGGGCUACACACGUGCUACAAUGGCGCAUACAAAGAGAAGCGACCUCGCGAGAGCAAGCGGACCUCAUAAAUGCGUCGUAGUCCGGAUUGGAGUCUGCAACUCGACUCCAUGAAGUCGGAAUCGCUAGUAAUAGUGGAUCAGAAUGCCACGGGAAUACGUUCCC
RNAcentral lists this ribosomal RNA (677 nucleotides) under Enterobacter sp. UT56. Its description in RNAcentral is "bacterial SSU rRNA". It matches the Rfam family "Bacterial small subunit ribosomal RNA", at positions 709 to 1375 of the family's 1533-position model. Lineage: Bacteria; Pseudomonadati; Pseudomonadota; Gammaproteobacteria; Enterobacterales; Enterobacteriaceae. The record is from RNAcentral.